CCAGACUCCUACGGGAGGCAGCAGUAGGGACUCUUGCUCAAUGGGGGCCCCCCUGAAGCCGCCCCGCCGCGUGGCGGCUGAAGGUUUUAGGCUUGUAAACUCCUUUUGUUAGAGCAGCUUCUGACGGUCUCUCCCGAAUAAGCACCGGCUAACUCCGUGCCAGCAGCCGCGGUAAUACGGAGGGUGCAAGCGUUACUCGGAAUCACUGGGCGUAAAGAGUGCGUAGGCGGGGUAAUAAGUCAGAUGUGAAAUCCUGUAGCUUAACUACAGAACUGCAUUUGAAACUGUUACUCUGGAGUGUGGGAGAGGUAGGUGGAAUUCUUGGUGUAGGGGUAAAAUCCGUAGAGAUCAAGAGGAAUACUCAUUGCGAAGGCGACCUGCUGGAACAGUACUGACGCUGAUGCACGAAAGCGUGGGGAGCAAACAGGAUUAGAUACCCCUGUAUGC
This 447-nucleotide ribosomal RNA is filed under the name uncultured bacterium. RNAcentral describes it as "bacterial SSU rRNA". It matches the Rfam family "Bacterial small subunit ribosomal RNA", at positions 331 to 794 of the family's 1533-position model. The record is from RNAcentral.